UACGUAGGGUGCAAGCGUUAAUCGGAAUUACUGGGCGUAAAGCGUGCGCAGGCGGUGAUGUAAGACAGGUGUGAAAUCCCCGGGCUUAACCUGGGAACUGCAUUUGUGACUGCAUAGCUAGAGUACGGUAGAGGGGGAUGGAAUUCCGCGUGUAGCAGUGAAAUGCGUAGAUAUCAGGAGGAACACCUGCGGUGUAGACGGCUUACUGGACGGUAACUGACGCUGAGGCACGAAAGCGUGGGUAGCAAACAGG
This 253-nucleotide ribosomal RNA is filed under the name uncultured bacterium. Its description in RNAcentral is "partial 16S ribosomal RNA". It matches the Rfam family "Bacterial small subunit ribosomal RNA", at positions 524 to 776 of the family's 1533-position model. The record is from RNAcentral.